This 253-nucleotide ribosomal RNA is filed under the name uncultured bacterium. Its description in RNAcentral is "partial 16S ribosomal RNA". It matches the Rfam family "Bacterial small subunit ribosomal RNA", at positions 524 to 776 of the family's 1533-position model. The record is from RNAcentral.
UACAGAGUGGGCGAGCGUUAUUCGGAAGUACUGGGCGUAAAGCGUGCGCAGGCGGUUGUGCAAGACAGGUGUGAAAUCCCCGGGCUUAACCUGGGAACUGCACUUGUGACUGCACGGCUGGAGUACGGCAGAGGGGGAUGGAAUUCCGCGUGUAGCAGUGAAAUGCGUAGAUAUGCGGAGGAACACCGAUGGCGAAGGCAGUCCCCUGGGCCUGUACUGACGCUCAUGCACGAAAGCGUGGGGAGCAAACAGG